AACAAAAAGUUUCUAGGCACUGGCAGAAAGUUAAUGCAGACCCAGUAGCUAGGGCAAUGCAUUUAGCAAGGAGACGAGAAAGCAACCAGAGAAGAAAGCAAGCUGCCUUGGCUGCAAAUCCUGAUCACCCGUCAAUCAGGAAUUUAUCAGAUGCUGCAGCUGAGAAGAGGCGAAAGCAAUGGCGGGAAAAUCAAAGUAAACACAGGGCAGAAGCUAAACGUAUAAGGGCAGUUCUGGAUCUUAUUAUACAGUAUUACCACCUGUUCAGUUAAUUUUUACGAAUAUGAUAUGUAUUGUGGAAUAAAAUGAUUAUUAAUUUCA
This is a non-coding RNA of Misgurnus anguillicaudatus (oriental weatherfish), 321 nucleotides long. The record is from RefSeq and is a predicted model, not a curated record. Lineage: Eukaryota; Metazoa; Chordata; Actinopteri; Cypriniformes; Cobitidae.